GUAACCAGCAGGUAGACUAGUGGUUAGAGUGUUGGACUAGUAACCAGCAGGUAGCCUAGUGGUUAGAGUGUUGGACUAGUAACCAGCAGGUAGCCUAGUGGUUAGAGCAUUGGACUAGUAACCAGCAGGUAGCCUAGUGGUUAGAGUGUUGGACUAGUAACCAGCAGGUAGCCUAGUGGUUAGAGUGUUGGACUAGUAACCAGCAGGUAGUGGUUAGAGCGUUGGACUAGUAACCAGCAGGUAGCCUAGUGGUUAGAGUGUUGGACUAGUAACCAGCAGGUAGCCUAGUGGUUAGA
Oncorhynchus keta (chum salmon) is the source of this 296-nucleotide long non-coding RNA. RefSeq lists it as uncharacterized. NCBI's taxonomy places the organism in Eukaryota, Metazoa, Chordata, Actinopteri, Salmoniformes, Salmonidae. The record is from RefSeq and is a predicted model, not a curated record. The transcript has 3 exons.